UAUCUUCAGAAUCAGAAAUACUUUAAUAUAGGACCUCCAGUGCAAAUAAAGUAGUAGGAGAAGAGAAAUUACAGAUAAAAUAAGUUAAAAUAAAGAGAAUCAAAAUAUGCAAUAUGUUUACAGUUUUACAAUAUACACAUAUAUACACUUUAUACAAUACAACAUGGUACUUAUUAUUUUAAAAUACUUACGGUAAUUUGCUUUAAUGACGGCGACAUGUUUCAAAAAAGAAAAACACCCGAAGGAACAGCUGUUAACAGGUUUGUCACAUGACUGGAAAUAAAAAGAGGCGGAGUCUCAGAAGAAGGAUAGAGGGUCAUCACUCUGUGAGAGACUGCGAGAGCAAAAAGCCAAACAUGUUAAAACAACAUAAAACAUGAAAUUUAUGCAGAAAAGGACGAAAUAUUAAAGGGAUAUUCCGGCGUAAAAUCAAUUUAGGGUCAAACACACUGUAACACCGAGUUAGACACCCCCUCCAGAGAUGAAUGUUGCCGACCGCUUGCUUCUCUUGUUUUACCAACUUUAGUAACGACCGCAGGAUAGCAAUACAGAGAGACACGCCCUCAACCAAAACGCCACUCUAUAGCCACAAAUAAUGCUCAGAACAGCACCUAACUUCAUCAACAGGACAUAUAGGGUCACAGACAUAGUACUAGACACCAAACAUCUUUUUAACUUUGACUCAUUUCUUUAGCAAAGAGAAUAAACACAACUCACCUACUCUCUUCCAGCAGCCGCUUGUUUGACUCUGACAUGACUCUGUAGUGGAGGUUGCUGUAUGGGCUCAGAGUUUGAGGGACAGUUUCCUGACUUGAGUGAUCUUAUAACCUCUGAAAAAAGCUCUGUGUGAUGAUUUAAAUACUUUUAUCUAUAAGUGAGGGUUAAAUUCCCUCUUUUAGCCUCAUUAUUCCUCAUAUUUUUAUACUCAGACUGCAUUAAUCUAGUUUCUCCUUAAGUCUAGGAGCACCAUAACAAAGACUUUGAGUACCUCUGUCGCUCUCGAGUGUGAAAAUGUUCACAGAGAAAGUGAAAAAAAAUCCUCUUACGGCUUCAUUCAUGUAAUCUGUUUACAUCAACCCAAUUUAAAGCUUUUCCAACGAGUCCAAAGAGCUCCAUCUUGUUGGUAAUGGUCCUGCAAAGUGGACUUAAAGUCUGCACAGCCACAUAUUUUACUGACUGUUGUAAAUCACCGCUCCACGAUGGAGAAACACACUAACUCCUUGUAGCAACUCAGCAACAAAGAUAUCACUUUCUUAUCGGAGUCCAAAUUACUCCGACUUUUUCAAUUUAGCCGAGCUGGAGCGCUGCCAACUUUACUCAACCGCCGAUUAUUUAUUUAUGCUGCAGAGGAGAAAUCACUCAGCAGAAGACAACUGGCCCGCCUCACACUGCAGGGUGGGCGUUCACCUUUGUCACACACUCGCUCAUUACUUCACUGAGCAAUUUUCUUUGCAGAAGUAGCAGCGAGUUGUUUUUCUCAUCAACUUUUCUGGGUGUUAACAGGAGCUUUGUGGCUGGAAUAAAUCACUGAUAUCGUCUGGGGAGGGUAGCUGCAAGUGUAGCUCAUAUCUUCGUUUUUCCAUUAAAUCCCCGACUCUUUUUAUCCUCAGGAAUGACUUAUGAGGCUGAAAACAGAAUCUGCAGCUUCUUCCUCUUUCUACCAGCUGUUACUUAGUCUAAUGUGUGAGUUAAGUUUGUGUUUUCGUCUUUCUCAGGCCAGGAAAGUUUCUACAAACUCUCUCGUUCACUCAGAUUCCUCUGCAUAUCCAUGACGCAUUCAGGGACCGGCGUUGGCAGUGCCAGAAACACAGUGCAGCUGUCGGUCACCGCUGGAUCAGAUGUCAUGGUGAGAGGUGGAAAUCGCGCAGGCAGAGAGCCAGGAGUGUUAAUACUGCUGUCCCAGACAACAGGUGUGUGGCCGGAGGCAGCAGCACAGGCGGCGGUGACUGACAGUCUGCUUUUGUGUAAGGGGACGCCGUUUUCUGAGUAAUCAGGGACAGGAAAUGACCUACAGACUCAAAUAUGUGUCUGAUAAGAGAUUUCAGAUUCCUAGUUUUGAAGCAAAGUAUGUUGAAUUUUCUGUCCUCUAUCUGCAGCAGUCAAAACUGUUUGUGGUAAAUCAAAAGAACUGAAGUAGUCCAAUGGUUCUACGCCAGAUAAUGAUAUAAGGCCUCACAAAUUCAGGUUAUUUGGUCCUCUGGUUUUGUUUCAGAGACCGUUGAUGUUUUUAAGAAGAGGCUCAAGACUCACCUUUUUAACCAGGCUUUUUACCGAUCACCUUUUUAUAUUUCUCUUAAUUCAAAUGUUCAUUUUAAUCAAAGUUCUUAUUGUUUAUUUUAUGUCAUUUCAUUAAUAAUCUCUGUUCUUAGUCUUUUUCUUAAUUUCCGUCAAAGAGGUUUUUACUUCUUUUACCAUUUUUAUACGGUAAAGAGCUUUUACUUAUCUGUUCAUUUAAUAUUAUUUUCUUGUUUUUCUUUUUACCAUUUUUCUUUUUAUCUCCAGUGUUUCCCAGAGGUCGCUCUUUCCUCACAUAAUGUCUCGGUGUCAGGCUGUGUCAUGUCAUGGUGUCAUAUUUGCCCAAGUAAUCAUUUUAUGAGCAAAUAUGUGGCGACAUCAUGGAGGUAAAGCUCACUUAUUCCAACAUUAAACUGCACAGCUGCAGUACUACAGCCAGGCCAGCAGAUGAAGGGCUUCUGUUACCACUGUCUGCAUGGGCGCAGUACCUACUCUCUGCCUGCGGGGGCCGUCUUUCCCCACCGCUUAUCUAGUGUGUCCGAAUUGGGCCAACGUGUUUAGUAUAUAGGAGUAGGAUCUAGCAGUAGUAUGUAGCAGUAGCAUGUAGUAUCCGAGCGGGCAAUUCGGACACAGCAUUGGUUUACGCUUUUUCUGCCUCUAACACAUGUGCUGCGUCCGAAUUGCCCGCUCGGGUACUACAUGCUACUGCUACAUACUACUGCUAGAUCCUGUUCAUGAGUUUUUUAAACAUAGAUUUUCAUUUUAGUGUCACUUGAAAUAAAUUGCAAUUGAAAGUUGAAGCUUGUGUUUGUUUUUAUUUUAAGAAAAAAGCUGCUGAUGUUAACUCCCUAAUCUUUUGGAUUAUUUGUGCUUUUGGUUUCUUCAUUAUGAUUAUUAUUAUUAUUAUUAUUAACUGAGAAGUACUAUGAAUGUACUAAAGGGAUAAAGUGAUUUUACUCCAGAAUUGAGUUAGCAAUAAUUUAUUUAAAGCCUCUGUCUGGAGUUUGGCACCCCCUUGUGGACAAACCUAUACCUCUAUAUCCUUAUAGUAGGCCAUGUGGCUUGUGUGUCCACAUGGCUCACAGGAUAAGAACAUUGACUGGGACUCCUCAGGUCAUGGGUUCAAACCUUAUUCAGGAUGAAUGAAUUUUAAAGCACCUGCAUUUCGUUGGUGUGAGCAAUGUUCUGGGUCUAAUCACAUUGAAAUAAUGCCAAGCCUUGUCUUCAUCUGUCAGCUCCUCCAAAAUGUAAAAACACAAACAAGAUAACUCCUGCUAAAUUUUCCAACCAUCAAUUUUUUUAUUCACCCAGCCUAAAAGUACUGAUAAUCAGUUCUGGAUCCUUGGCAAUGACUGUUGGGUACAAACUGUGAAGCUCUGUUCUGAAGGUGGGACUGGGCUUUUGAUUGGCCAUGUCAAUCAAAAGCCCAGUGUGGGGCUGUGUCCACAUGGCUCAGAGGAUAAGGAGACUGCCUGGCACUCUUAAGGUUGUGGUUUCAAGCCUCACCUUACCCAAGUUGAGGUGAAUUUUAAAGCCUUGUGUCUACAAAGGGCAGUGAAAUAGGAAAAAACCAGAAGAGUCCUCUGUAUCCACAUGGCUCAGAGUAUAAGGAGACUCACUGGCAAUCCUAAGGUCGUGCGUUCAAAUCUUGUACAGGGUGUAUUUUAUAGUCCAGCAGCCAAAGUUCCAAGAUAAAAGGGCACGAACAUCAUCCCCAAAUGUGGACGGUAUCCGGUGGCGCAGGGGGUAUGCAACUGACACCAGAAUGCUGGUCAGCUGGGCAGCCCUGGUUCGAAACCCGCUCAGCCCAGUGGUCUGGGCUUACCCCCCCGGUGUUUGCAGAGAGAGAAAAUAGGGGGGUUAUGCUAAAGGAAGUCAGAGCAGGCUGAACUUUAGAGUAAGGAUGGGGAGAAGGGUUGAUGGGGGGGAUGAUAGGGGCGGAUGGCUGAGGGCGUAGUCCUCUGCUCAGCCGAUGGUCAUUCGCCGCGCGGCGGAUGGCCGGUCGCUGAGCAGAGGGCGUCCCCAAUAGGCUUGAACCCACUGACCCGUGUGGACACACGCGACAACAAUAAUUUUUUUCAUAUAUCACUGUACUUUGUAGACUCUAGACCUUCAAAAUUCACCAAGAAGUGGACAAGGUAGGACUCAAACCUAUGACCUCAGGAGUCACAGUCAGUGUUCUUAUCCCCUGAGCCACUUGGACACACAGGAUUAUACCACUUGUUUCCUCUUUCAGUUUCCUGUGUAGACACUAGACUUCAAAAUUCCCCUUGUCCCAAAAAAGGCUCGAACACACCACCUCAUAGUAGGGUCUGUUAACUUGAAAAAAUGGCCAAAUUGUUAUGCGGUGGAUAAAAGCACCAAAUUUGGUACACACAUUCUUCAGGGUGUAUCUCAUCAUCUCAGAAGGGGUGCCCAAAAAUGCAUGAGUGAAAAUGGCUCAAAUGGAGGUCGUAUACCUGACCCAGUACAAAAGUCUCUCGUUGAUUUAUUUAGCAGGAAAAAGGGAGUCGAUCUCUGCUGCUCUGAAACCACAUCUGAGUCCAAAAACAAAGACAAAGAAUAACUUCAUACUGCAAAACCAAGUGUGACGCCUGUCAGGAAACCUUAUAAAUCACAGCAUGAAGAUGGCGGGGGGUUAUUAUUAUAUGCCAUAAUAAGGUGUUGGUGUCUCUGCAGGUGUAGGUUACCGUCGGUGUCAGAGACGUGGUGCUCGUCUGAGCUCGACUCCCUCUGGAUCACAAAUGUUGAUCAUCAUCAGUUUGAUUGUUUCUUCAGAAACCACAAAAUCUUGCUGAAUGACCCGCUGAUACAUCCACAGAUAACCCUGCAGAUGACCAGCUUCAGUCAUUUCCCCCUCCACAAAAGCAGCUUUAUGACUUUAUUUACUUUAUGACUUUAUUCUCCUAAAUUUACAACUUUAAUCUCUAAAUCUUAAAAGAAAAAAAAACUCAAUGUUGUCCUGAUCCUCUGCUGUAGUUUUGUCAGCUUUCUUAUUUCUAAUGUUUUUGAUAGUUGUAGCAGAGCGGAUCAGUUGUCUCUAAAUCUAUAAUGUUUGGUUUACAGAUUUUAGUGAGUUCAGAGAUCAUGCUCUCAUACAGCCUGAGCUGACUGUCUGCUGGUUUUGGAUUUCUUGUAUUUUCUUUGAAGACUCGCUGUGUCUCCAAGCGAGUCCAGCCUCUCACCUGAAAUGCGCAGCUGUGCAGCGGCACGCAAAGCAUUCUGGGAUACCGACGGCACGAAAAAAUGCUAAGCGCGCUUAGCAUUUCUUAGCAUCUCGUGCCAAAUGGGACACCGUUCGCGCCGUCGUGACGUCACGCACGCUUCAAAUGCACCGUUCGACGGUGCAGAAGUGCACUUAGCCCGAUGCGGUCUCUGAAAUGAGACACAGCCCAGGUAUCCUGUGGAGGGCAGCGUUACGCUCCUUACGUACAGUCUCUGCCGGAAAUUCAUGAGAAGAAGAAGAAAGGUAUCAGUCAAAGAACCGUUGUUGGCGACUCUCGCCCAAUUAUCAGAAAAUUCGACGUUUUAAUCGGUGAAACAUGGUGGUUGUAACUUGGAAACACAUCAGAAGUCUUAUAAGAGUGUUAAAGUAACAUUUUGUGUUAGUGGAUGUCAACUUUGUAGGAGUUUUGAAGCUUGUCAGUGUGACUUGAAACCAAGCCCCAUCUUAACAACAGCAUUAAACAGUUUAUAUCCAUUAUUACCCCCGCCGAUGUAGAAAGGGUCGUUUAUGCAUUCAUCUUCUUAAAGUUAGACUACUUUAACUCCCUUUUCUUAGGUCUCUGUAACAAAUCACUUUCCCGCUUCCAACUGGUUCCGGAACGCAGCAGCUCGGCUGGUUUGAACUGAUUUUAACUGACGGUUUCACAUCACUCUCUUACUGAUCACUUUCAGACUCGACAGUGCGACCAUUUCACUCGCAUUUGCGACUAAAUAUAGAGGUGUGCGAAUUGUAAAAUGUAUUUAGGGGCACACAAAAAAAUCAGCCGAGGCAACAAAUGUUUUUUCAUGUAAACACCGCAGUGAAGUUAGUUUUAGGUUGGAUAUUGGAAUCCACAGGGCACCCUCGCUGUCAACAUCGGGUGUUGAAUAAGGGACCAUCAAUAAAUUACCGGUUGAUGUUCUCAAAAAAGCUGUUGGUAGGUCUGGCCCCAACCUACAUAUCCGAUUUAUUGACUCCCUAUGUGCCAGCCCACAGCCUUAGGUCCAAAGUCGAGGCUAAAGGCGAAAGGUGAUCAAGCCUUUUUCUGUCAGGGCUCCUUGACUUUGUAACGCUGAAUCAGUAACAUCUUUUAAAUCAUAAAUUUUACAUGAUGCAUGAUUGACUUAUUUAUUUAUCUUAUUGCCUGCUAAAUAAAGUUAUUAUUGUUAUAGUCAGGCGCAAAUAUGACUUUCUAACAAAUCUCUCCAUGUUUUUUUUCAGGUCCUUAAAAUGACCAUUACUUCUUUGUAUUAAUUCAAGAUUAGGAAUACUGGCGCCUGAGACAUGUUUAGACCAUGUAAUAUUCUAGUUAGCAUAUUUGUAUGAUAGAUAAGUGAUUACAAGCACAACUUGUGACCCACAGACAGUGUCGCAUGGAGAUCUUUGAAUGUUUAGGGGUGGUGAGAGUAUUUUCUCAUUUACAGAGUGAUAAAAAGAGAUAUCCAAAGUCCUCUUCUGACUCUAGUAUGUCAACAAAAUAAAAAAAGAAUUUUGAAAGGGUUUUUAUCCAUUGUCCAGUUUUCGGUUCUGGAAAUGUCUGCAAAUUCACACAUAUUUAAUUAGAUGUUACCUUAUUUAGAUGUUCAAACAUAACAUCUGACAAAACUUGUAAUACAAAAAUUAUUUGUCUUAAUGUAAGUUAUAAACUUGGGAAGUUUUAUGGUGAUAUCUGUUAGCUAAAAAUUUUACUGUAUUCACCUGGGCCUCCAACCCAUUAUGGAUACCAUCUUGAAAAUGACACCUUUCUAGUGGUCAAACUUUGGUAAACUUUAGUUUGUUAUUAAGGACAUCUAAUACUAUAAAAAACAGCUGAGAAACAUUUUGUUAGAAUUUGUUUAGGGUUAGGUUUUUCUUUUAAAUAUGUACCUGCCUUUUAUAUUUUCAGAUUUUCCCCGUUAAUCUCAGUAAAAUUUUUCAUGUGACUAUUAAAACAUUUUUAAUAACAACUUUGUAGUUUUAGCUCCUUUUAAACUGCUGUAGUCUUGUUGCUGUUAAAUGUUGUAUAUCUUCUCUACAGCCUCCUUCGUGUGCAUUUCUGUGAAUUGUUGUGUUGGUAAGACAUCUUCAGCUCAAGAUUUCACAGAGAAAACUUCCAGUAACUCUUGACUGAUUUCUCCACAUUUCACAGGACACUGGCGGUGGUGGUGGUUGUGGCCCCCUCUCUCCUCUCCGUGGUCUCUGAAGUGGGACUGAAGAGCCCAGACUCUCUGAAAAGGAAAUGACUCACACAGGCUAUGGACGGCGAGGCGCGAAGCGGUAGCAGCAAGGUACAAGUACAUGUCUCUCUCACAGAAGUUCACAGAAAUAAGAGUGUGAGGAGCCGCUGAUGGAGGCUUUUAACCACAGGUGACUUAGUUCAUCGUGAAUUCUGAGAACCACAGAGAGAUACUGAGAGUCGCUUUUUUGUUUUCUAAUGUCACCAUGUGAACCAACCUCUGUCCUUUUUCCAUUUUAACCAUAGACAUGUUAUAAAAGCGCAACAUUCAGAGGAUUCAGAGGAGCUUUGUUACCUAUAUGAAGGAUGAUGUACAGCAAGUGUGGUUGUCGUAGCAGGGCCGCGACUUUUCUGUUCUUGGUUUCUCUGCUUUUUUGUGGAUUAAUAUAUCCGUCAGUCUCUUAAGGUGGAUGUAGAGUUCAAUAUUAGAGUGGUUUAAGUCGUUUUCCAAGCACCGGUUAGCUUCUUGUGACAACAGUCUGCUAUUGAGAGAUGAUGAAAAGUGAGGUAUGGAUAUUCAAAAUAAGUGGCAACAACAGAAUGAUGAUUGAUACCAGUCUUAGUGGAGGUUGGCUGAGUUUGGCAUAAAAGCCCACACUUUUGGUUGUAAAGGCCGAUCAGGUGCGCAGAACAGACGUGACGUUACACUUAAAGGGAUAUUCUGGCUUAAAAUUAAUUUAGGGUCAAACACACCGUAACACCGAGUUAGACCCCCCCUCCAGAGAUGAAUGUUGUCAACCGCUUGCUUCUCUAGUUCACCAACUUUAGUAACGACCGCAGGAUAGCAAUACAGAGAGCCACGCCCUCAACCAAAACGCCACUCCAUUACGGACUACAGCAGGGGAACGCAGCUCAAGGAAGAACAUUUAUGAUAAUUUCUUAAUCAUUUCCUUGAAGUAAUAAUCACUAUAUUAAUCAUUUUGCUCUGCAGACGCGGUAGUUCCCAAUCAUCUGAGUCCCAAUCUUAUAUUUGUAUUUGUCAAGUGAAUGAGCUGAUAAAAGAAGCUGUUAGAGAUCUGAGACCCUGUUAUUUAGGGUGGAAAAAAGUGUGUAAUCAUAAAGAAAGAUGAGGGCAGCAUUCGCUUUUUGACUGAGAUGCUGAUUUGUUGAAUCGGUGAAUUAAUCUGUCUGUUUCUGCUUUUGGAUUCUGCCAAAUUGUUCUUGAAAUUAUUCUGUCUGGUUGUGUGAGUUUCUAGUUUCUCUCGCUCAGGGUUGAAUAUUUAGAAAGCUUCUUUUGGAUGCUCCUCGGAGGCCUGUUAAUCCAAAGUGUGUUUAAGCAGAACCAGGAUUUAAAGACUUGUCACUAGUCUGUGUUUGGUUUAGAAAAAGAAACCCGCCUCCUUUCUCUCUCUUUCCCUCUCUUUCUCUCUCUCCGUCUUUGUCUCGCACACUCUACAUACAGCCUCUGCCUGUGCUGCAAUCUCUAUUUUCAUGCCACUGGCACAAAGGUCUACAAUCACUGCAGCACUCCGCCUGCCUCAGAGUCAAUAAAGUCUUGUCUGAAUUGCUUCUCGUAUCAAACGGUGGAGGCAGUAUGCUAAUAUUAUCCCUCAGACAGACUUCUUGUUCCAGUGUUUGGCUCGGGCUUAGAGUUUCGCUGUGCCAGAAAUGAGCUGCCACUUUGAUGACACAUUAAAAUAUUCUGACAUGAAAACAGGGAAAUCCAUCUCCCUGCUGAGUGCUGCCACUCACAGUCAGGAAAAGGCAUUGUUGAAGGUGACUGUGGGGAAUGUUAAUGAGGGACGGGUCCUUUACUUCUCCUCCAUUAUGCAUCUGGAGGACUUUGAAGGUUGCCUAUGGAGCUCUGACUGUCUUGUUCUUCGUCUUGUAAUGAUGUGUAACUUU
Molecule: non-coding RNA, 9500 nt
Organism: Xyrichtys novacula (pearly razorfish)
Lineage: Eukaryota; Metazoa; Chordata; Actinopteri; Labriformes; Labridae
Source: the annotation of a GenBank genome assembly